This 484-nucleotide ribosomal RNA is filed under the name uncultured bacterium. RNAcentral's name for it is "partial 16S ribosomal RNA". It matches the Rfam family "Bacterial small subunit ribosomal RNA", at positions 30 to 507 of the family's 1533-position model. The record is from RNAcentral.
AUUGAACGCUGGCGGCAGGCCUAACACAUGCAAGUCGAGCGGAUGAAGGGAGCUUGCUCCUGGAUUCAGCGGCGGACGGGUGAGUAAUGCCUAGGAAUCUGCCUGGUCGUGGGGGAUAACGUCCGGAAACGGGCGCUAAUACCGCAUACGUCCUGAGGGAGAAAGUGGGGGAUCUUCGGACCUCACGCUAUCAGAUGAGCCUAGGUCGGAUCAGCUAGUUGGUGGGGUAAAGGCCUACCAAGGCGACGAUCCGUAACUGGUCUGAGAGGAUGAUCAGACACACUGGAACUGAGACACGGUCCAGACUCCUACGGGAGGCAGCAGUGGGGAAUAUUGGACAAUGGGCGAAAGCCUGAUCCAGCCAUGCCGCGUGUGUGAAGAAGGUCUUCGGAUUGUAAAGCACUUUAAGUUGGGAGGAAGGGCAGUAAGUUAAUACCUUGCUGUUUUGACGUUACCAACAGAAUAAGCACCGGCUAACUUCGUG